Molecule: long non-coding RNA, 202 nt
Filed under: Glycine max (soybean)
Lineage: Eukaryota; Viridiplantae; Streptophyta; Magnoliopsida; Fabales; Fabaceae
Description: long non-coding RNA (GMAX_LNC002182)
Source: RNAcentral
AUUAAUAUUGAUCGGGAUUGACAUAUGGAUAGAUCAAGAAGGGUCUUUCCUAACGAUGCAUGUGAGAAAAUUCGAGCUAUGAUCCCCUAGGCUCACAAGGAGUAAGGAUGUUAGAGCUUGGAAGGGAAACCCAAAGGGUGAAUUUACCCUCACCUCUGUGUAUAAUUGCAUUUUUCUGGCGGCCCUACAGUUAGUGUGACCC